GUGCCAGCAGCCGCGGUAAUACGGAGGGUGCGAGCGUUAAUCGGAAUUACUGGGCGUAAAGCGCGCGUAGGUGGUUCAGUCAGUCAGAUGUGAAAGCCCCGGGCUCAACCUGGGAACUGCACCUGAUACUGCUGAGCUAGAGUACGGUAGAGGGUAGUGGAAUUUCCGGUGUAGCGGUGAAAUGCGUAGAGAUCGGAAGGAACACCAGUGGCGAAGGCGACUACCUGGACCGAUACUGACACUGAGGUGCGAAAGCGUGGGUAGCAAACAGGAUUAGAUACCCUGGUAGUCC
Molecule: ribosomal RNA, 292 nt
Filed under: uncultured microorganism
Description: partial 16S ribosomal RNA
Rfam family: Bacterial small subunit ribosomal RNA
Source: RNAcentral